UAACCCUACUUUUCAACCAUUUAUCAUCACUACUCGUUUCAUCUCCUUCAAUCGAUUUUCUCCGACGGUUGACAAAUCUUCCAUCACUUUUCUACAUAAGAGUAAACAAUUAUCCCUAUUUUUCCUUUUCAUUCACCGCCUAACUUCUGGGCAGCGGCGCACAAUAGAUUUGAAUCUCCCACUACAAUGGUGGAGCUGAUUAAGGAAGCAUGGGAGAAAGCAUACAUCACUGAGGUCACCAAGCAAUAAUUGGUGUUUCUCUUGGACGAAGAGCAUUACGAGAGAAAAAAAAGAAAACAUGCCUCGAUAGAAUUAAGAUAGAGUGUUGGAUUUGUAUAUCAUUUGUUUUUAUUCAGAAAAUUUGUAUUGUUAUUCGACAUUUUAUAGUGAUGUAUUCAUUUAAUAUGAAUAGUGGAUUGUUUUAAAAUUGUUGUAGAUUUGUAUAAUAUUUAUUUUUAUUCAUACAAUUUUUAUUGUUAUUCGACAUCUUAUAGUGACA
Long non-coding RNA from Salvia miltiorrhiza (redroot sage), 499 nucleotides. RefSeq lists it as uncharacterized. Lineage: Eukaryota; Viridiplantae; Streptophyta; Magnoliopsida; Lamiales; Lamiaceae. The record is from RefSeq and is a predicted model, not a curated record. The transcript is spliced from 2 exons.